RNAcentral lists this transfer RNA (71 nucleotides) under Eumeta japonica. It matches the Rfam family "tRNA". Rfam says of the family: Transfer RNA (tRNA) molecules are approximately 80 nucleotides in length. Lineage: Eukaryota; Metazoa; Arthropoda; Insecta; Lepidoptera; Psychidae. The record is from Rfam by way of RNAcentral.
GCCUGAUUGGCGCAGUGGUAGUGACCCUACUUGUUGCGUUGGGGUUGUGGGUUCGAUUCCCACACAAGACA